AUACGGAGGGUGCAAGCGUUAAUCGGAAUUACUGGGCGUAAAGCGUACGUAGGCGGUUAUUUAAGUCAGAUGUGAAAGCCCCGGGCUUAACUUGGGAACUGCAUUUGAAACUGGGUAACUAGAGUUUAGUAGGGGGGAGUGGAAUUUCAGGUGUAGCGGUGAAAUGCGUAGAGAUCUGAAGGAACACCAGUGGCGAAGGCGACUCCCUGGACUAAAACUGACGCUGAGGUACGAAAGCGUGGGUAGCAAACAGGAUUAGAAACCCGGGUAGUCC
RNAcentral lists this ribosomal RNA (274 nucleotides) under uncultured bacterium. RNAcentral describes it as "partial 16S ribosomal RNA". It matches the Rfam family "Bacterial small subunit ribosomal RNA", at positions 523 to 796 of the family's 1533-position model. The record is from RNAcentral.